AUUCUGCCCAUGCGGGGAAGGAUGAGAAGCUUCGACCAAGGUUCGACUCGAGCGCCAGCGAGAGAGCGUUGCCGCAGGCAACGACCCGAAGGGCGAAGCG
This 100-nucleotide small RNA is filed under the name Escherichia coli. RNAcentral describes it as "partial RtT sRNA". It matches the Rfam family "RtT RNA", at positions 1 to 98 of the family's 130-position model. Rfam says of the family: This family represents a bacterial cis-regulatory element known as RtT RNA. The exact function of RtT is unknown although it is thought that it may be involved in changing the cellular response in relation to amino acid starvation. The record is from RNAcentral. Lineage: Bacteria; Pseudomonadati; Pseudomonadota; Gammaproteobacteria; Enterobacterales; Enterobacteriaceae.